Erinaceus europaeus (western European hedgehog) is the source of this 252-nucleotide long non-coding RNA. RefSeq lists it as uncharacterized. The record is from RefSeq and is a predicted model, not a curated record. The transcript has 3 exons. NCBI's taxonomy places the organism in Eukaryota, Metazoa, Chordata, Mammalia, Eulipotyphla, Erinaceidae.
GGUCAGUGGGCUGCCCAUUCACUCCACAGAUAUGAGGAGCACCUUCCUCCAAGAGGAGAGGCGCUCAGACAGGUGCUCAGGUAGCACCGCAGAGGCUCUGGGCGCCCCAGGUGCAGGGCCCCCACAGAGCCUCCCCCCAGGUGCAGGGCCCCCACAGAGCCUCCCCCCCAGGUGCAGGGCCCCCACAGAGCCUCCCCCCAGGUGCAGGGCCCCCACAGAGCCUCCCCCCCAGGUGCAGGGCUGCACAGAGCC